UACGGAGGAUCCGAGCGUUAUCCGGAUUUAUUGGGUUUAAAGGGUGCGCAGGCGGGGGAUUAAGUCGGCGGUGAAAUUUUGCAGCUCAACUGUAAAAGUGCCUUCGAAACUGGUUUCCUUGAGUGUAGAUGAAGUAGGCGGAAUUUGUGGUGUAGCGGUGAAAUGCAUAGAUAUCACGAGGAACUCCGAUUGCGCAGGCAGCUUACUAAACCAUAACUGACGCUCAGGCACGAAGGCGUGGGGAUCAAACAGGAUUAGAUACCCUGGUAGU
RNAcentral lists this ribosomal RNA (271 nucleotides) under uncultured prokaryote. RNAcentral describes it as "partial 16S ribosomal RNA". It matches the Rfam family "Bacterial small subunit ribosomal RNA", at positions 524 to 794 of the family's 1533-position model. The record is from RNAcentral.